This 554-nucleotide ribosomal RNA is filed under the name uncultured bacterium. RNAcentral describes it as "bacterial SSU rRNA". It matches the Rfam family "Bacterial small subunit ribosomal RNA", at positions 472 to 1024 of the family's 1533-position model. The record is from RNAcentral.
ACGGUACCUGCAGAAGAAGCCCCGGCUAACUACGUGCCAGCAGCCGCGGUAACACGUAGGGGGCAAGCGUUGUCCGGAUUUAUUGGGCGUAAAGAGCUCGUAGGUGGCUAAGUAAGUCGGGUGUCAAAUCCCCAGGCUCAACCUGGGUCUCCACUCGAUACUGCUUUGGCUAGAGUCCGGUAGGGGAGCGUGGAAUUCCUGGUGUAGCGGUGAAAUGCGCAGAUAUCAGGAGGAACACCAGCGGCGAAGGCGGCGCUCUGGGCCGGUACUGACACUGAGGAGCGAAAGCGUGGGUAGCAAACAGGAUUAGAUACCCUGGUAGUCCACGCCGUAAACGUUGGGCACUAGGUGUGGGGUCUAUUCAACGGACUCCGUGCCGUCGCUAACGCAUUAAGUGCCCCGCCUGGGGAGUACGGCCGCAAGGCUAAAACUCAAAGGAAUUGACGGGGGCCCGCACAAGCAGCGGAGCAUGUUGCUUAAUUCGAGGCAACGCGAAGAACCUUACCUGGGUUUGACAUGUAGAGAAAAGCCACAGAGAUGUGGUGUCCUUCGGG